RNAcentral lists this long non-coding RNA (211 nucleotides) under Elaeis guineensis (African oil palm). Its description in RNAcentral is "long non-coding RNA (EGUI_LNC016424)". Lineage: Eukaryota; Viridiplantae; Streptophyta; Magnoliopsida; Arecales; Arecaceae. The record is from RNAcentral.
GGACUAUGGACGUUCUACCUACUGGUUUGUUCGGGAGUCGUUCUGUUGUUUCUACUCUGGACGAUUUUUGAGCGAUUAAUUUAUAUCAAUUUUAUUCUUUAAGGUUUAGUUUUGGUAGAUUUUGGACUAUGUUUCUUUUGUCAAUGGCUAAGUAGGAGUUACACCAUCAGCACUAUACUUAUGAUUCGGUAGCCUUGUAUUAUCUUGUGUA